Molecule: long non-coding RNA, 6225 nt
Organism: Spodoptera frugiperda (fall armyworm)
Lineage: Eukaryota; Metazoa; Arthropoda; Insecta; Lepidoptera; Noctuidae
Exons: 2
Source: RefSeq, a predicted model, not a curated record
ACAAACUAAACUAAAUCAUAUUCCUUUGUAUAUAAAACACAAAUUUACUUGCAAGUGCACGAUUGUAAGCGUUGCACAUAAAUAUGAUUGCAACAGUUAACAUUAAGUGGUUAAGUUGCCCCGUGUAAUGAUAACAGUGCCGUUACAGGCCGCAAUGCGCCUGCAACACCGACACUUACUGUUAUGUAACACCUUCGUACAUGCUUCUACUUAGAAUUAACUUAGUUAUAAUCAAACAUAUUCAUUUUUAAUACGUUGUCUGACAUUUGAAAUAUGCCUUGUAUCGUGGGUACGUCUACAGACAUACCUAGAACCAAUACAAUAAUUUGUGGAUCACAUAUAUAAUUGUUCCGUCAGAAAUCGAAUAAGCAAUAUUAGUUGCUGAGUAGUUGGUUACCCAGCCUAUUUACACCAACUGUGUAGUCAAUAUACACAACAUAUCAAGAAAAAAUGUGAAUGCCUCAGUCUUACAUUUUAUUAUGAAACCUACGUAAUUCUUGUCAUAUAAACCAAAGCUACAUGUCUCGUAGCACAUGUCUACGAUUCGCCUACGCCACUACGACGUAGCACACCUGCUACGCUUGCUACGAGUGACUACGUUCGUAGAUAUGCUAAGCAGUUCUUUGCUUUGUUUGAAUAUUAUGAGCAGGUGAAGUGACGUCAUAGGUCUGGGAUCUGCUAAAUAUGUAAAGGAUUAAUGUGAAACGUAUUUUUGGUAUGAAGUAUAGAAAUAACAAGUUCCAAUAUUUUUAUUGCGUACAAACGAAAUUGGUCAUUAGUUAUAAAUAACAAACCCAUUUCUAAAAUCAAUAAAUCAAAACCAUACCGUAACUAAUACUUGUUUAUUUAAACUUUUAAUUUGAACAUUCACUCAUUAACCCGUAGUUUAUCGCUUAUCGUUAUAAUUAACAUUAACGAUUAAUUUAAACGUGAAAAACAACGAUACGUUAUCGCUCUGAUACGCGUAUUAUCAGAGGUGCGUAUUGUUCGGAUUGCGUAUUGAUACGAGAGCUCACCAGUCGAGCUGCAGGCUUCGAACUGGUAUGCUUCUAAAUAAACACAAGAGAUACAAAACGGGAAUGAUUCUGGAUGCAACGAUCAGUAUGAUAGAGUAAGCCACACUAGUCACGUGCAGUAAGUCUUAAUAAUAUAGGUAGAGUAACAGCUCAGUACGUAUACUUUCAAAGCACGGUAAGUUAGGCAGGGAGUUUAUUCUGACUUUGACAUAAUAAAGGUGAAUUCAUUUUCUCGGUAAAUCACUUCCAACAAUGGGACGCUGAAACCCGUAAAGAUUAUUAUCUGAGGAGCGGCCGAGUACCUGGCGCUCCUGGAAAUCAUUCUUCGUUAUUAAUACGGCCAGGGUAGAGAGGGCAGAGAGGGCGCAGGGCGGCAAGUCACUCAGCCCGACCACACGCCUCCGCCUUCACGGUUCACGCUCCGACAGCGAAUAUGUUACCUUACCUCCAGAUUUCCACAACAUUUUUCGUUGAUAGAAUAAUUUAAUAAUAAAAAAUACGUAUACAUUACAUAGGUGACCUCCACACACAUGCUAAUGUAAUAAAACACGUAUAAUGAAGUUCAGCUCUGUAGCAGUUUAGUUAAAAAGCUUCAAUUGAAAUUCUUCGAACAACUUGCCAUGCCGACCAUGUAGAGAGUUGUAAACUGUUUGUUAGCAAUCGAGCACACACGGUAACUGCACGUAACAAACAAAGCGAUGCUCCAACUAUGCGCGGCUCCACCUCCUCGACUAUCCUCGUUAGCUGUACACGUGUCGUGUAUCGAUCAGCUCAGCUUUGCUUAACUUACUGCUGCUUGGCAUGCGAUGGAUCGUGAUGGAGUACCUCCGACGCGCAGUGCACUGUUUUCUUUAUAAAUUAUUCAAAACUGCUCGCUUCCGAAGUUCCGAUAUCAGGAAAUUAUUUUAUAUUAACUUUGUAAAGUAAAGCUUUUCGCUCGGAACCCAUUUUACAUUUUAAAGUUGAGCAAUAAUAGAGUUCUCUCUAGAAAUAAAUAAAUACAAUUGUACCAUCCAUUUAAAACACUUAUUUUAUGAAUCAGAAUGGCAAACACGUACAACGUAUCCACUACCAACAGCUGCACAACACAAUCAAUGUAUUACAAUAGUCACUUGACUUGAUUCAAUAAGUGUAGUCCAAGAGCUCGGGCGUGUCAGGCUGUAGUCAUCUCGUCCGACAAGUCCGACAAUCGCAACACCUUGGUCCGACACGGCGGACACUUGUUCCGGCGCCGGCCGCGCGCCUGCACCGCCGUGACGGGCCGCCAUAACUUCUCUUGUCAUACAUCUGGGUCAUCGGGAACACUGUUUGUGAUCAAGUAACUUUGUUUGUUUGUUUAGUUUCAGCAAGUUUGAGGCUAUUUGUGUACGUGGGUGUGUUAAACGUUAACUAGUAUUACGCGUAAUCUCUACAACUUUGUUUUGUACGACUAAUAAAUAUUCCGGACAAUAGUUUGCUAAGCUCUCUGCUCUAGAAAACACAACUUCUUUGUGCAUUCAAGCUUUAUGAAAUAAUUUCUCUUCUUCGUAUCGGAGUCGGCGCAUUUUUUCUUGGAAAAGUCGAUCUGUUAUUUCUCAAACGGCAUUAAUUAAAACUUUUGUCGUGCACCUCCGGCCAUAUUGUUUGAGUCAGAGCAAAAACAGCGCUGCAAUGAACUUUCUUUGUCUGCCGCUGAACUAGGACAUAAAAGUAGUUUAGUAGCAAAUUAACUGUUCCCGCGAUACAAUCUGCAGGAAAACAAUAAACCAGUAGUCGACUUAUGUAGGUUUAUUGUUACUUGUUAUAACUUAAUUAAACAUAAAAACUGAAUUAAGCCAACAGCUAAUAUAAAACCUUCUCAAACGGCUUUGUUUACAAUUACAGUCGCUAUCCUCGUUCAACCAUCUUGUGCUUAUAAAUAAAAAGAAUAAACGUCACUUAAAUCUAAGUGUUCGCCUCAAACCGAUUAUAUCCAGUUUUAUCCGGUAUAAGCCAGAUGGAUGCGGUUCCCGCUAGUUAUAUUAAAAACUGUUUGAGAUCGUCUUAUUAAGCAGCUGCGACUCCGCCAUAUUAAAUGCUGCUUUCAUGUUUUUUUCGCUUUUAUCGUAUUUUAUAUUGAGAUGAGAUGCCAUGUUUUUCUUAGGGGGAGAUUUGAACGUUGUGUAUGCUUUGAAACGUUAACUUGAUGUGUGUAAUGGCAUUUCAUAUAAAUUCUUUUGUAAUGUAUUCUUUGGUGAAGCCAUAUUGACUUAAAAGAUUAAAUGAGGAAGGAUUUUUGUAUAAAUUGUACCGCAUUUUAUUACAAGAACGUUUAGGUCCUUUUUUAUACGUAUGUACGUGGGGUAAAAAUUCUAACAUUUCAUGGCAUACACGCAAGACUUCUUAAUUAAACAGACGUGACGUACGAUGAGUUCCACUGACGUACUCCGAAGUGAGACAAGGAGCCGGCUCCAUGAAUAAUCAACCAUCUGAAUAAUUCAACUCCCAGACCUUUUGAAUAUUCCGACGUCACUUUUUGAUACAACCGUCAUUUUUUGCGUCGGCGGGCAAAUUAUUUUAUGUAACGUUGAUUUAGUGGCGCCGAUCUCCCGGUCUAUUGGUUUCGUUUGAAUAUUAAUUGAAAGCGAUCGUUAUUUUUUUACGUUGAUUUUGCAAAUUUUUGUGUCUAUUUUUGUAAGGGAAUGGUGAAAUCAUUGUUCAGAAUGUCUUAGUCACCUGUUAUUUUGGAAAUGUCUACGUUUUUCUACAUUAAUGAAGAUUUUUUUUUGUGAAAGUGAUAUCUGUGUUAGUUACGAAGUUUUUCUGUUACGUGUUCAUAAUUCAUCGUAUCGUACUGCUAUGAUUAUUUUAUCAGGGCGUCGAACGAUUUUGAUGUAGCGACGAAUAAUUGAUGCUCACUGUAUGCUCGCUUUAUUUUCGGCGCCACCAAUAUUACCUUCGUGCAAUAUGUAACAAAUAUAUUGAAUUGUAAAUGAAAAGCAACGUUAACAGAACAAGUUUAAAUUGACUUUCCAAUGGACGUAACAAACUCAGUGAUUGAGUUAGGAACAAGAGUUAAUACCGGUAUUAUGUAAAGUCUAUUGGAAGUUGCACAAUUUAAAUCAGUUCGACGAGAAAUCUUUUGUAAUCCUAUUAAAUUGAAAGUCUCAGUAAUGAAGUAUUUCCGAAGUAAAUGCCCUGUGAAUCCAAUCGUCCGCAGCGACUUGCUGCCUCCAGUAGCCGACCACUCCGCCCCAGCGCCCGGCCAUUCAGCUCAUUCACUAAGUUCGCGAUCGAGUGGCGCGCGCCUCGACCCGACCUCCAUUUAUUCUUUUACAAAAGCUCUUUGAUCAACUAAAUAGUUUGUCGUUCCCAGUUUUAUAGAAAUUAUUUUUGUGAAUAAUUUUAUAUUUUCUAACUGAAGUUUGAGUUUAAUGUCACUCCAGUAUUGUGUAAUUUUCGAAGUUGUAGUUGUAAUAGUUUAGUUGCUCAACAUUUUCGUUUUAUUUUUGUUAUAAACGUGACGAGCUAAGUUCUACAAAGGGUACAGAUAAAUCAAAAGAGUUUCGGUCCCUUUUCCCCGUCUUACACAAAUGAUGUACGGGACUGUAAUCAUUGGGGCGACAUUUAUAUAUGAUACAAACUACAUCUUCAUACAUAUGAGACAUAAUUAUGUAAUUGUGGUGUCUUUGAUGUUCGUCUUUACUUGAUAUUUGUGUGUGCUAGUAAUUAGUAGCCGCGGUAGCUGACACAAACUUUGUAUGUGGUACAUUUACCUCGUCUGUAGAGUAUAAGAUAGAUGAAUAUGUUGGCUACCCUGGAGAAUGGUAGCUACGUCCUGAAGGAAGAGGAGGCCAGGUGCUGGAUGUCCAGACGAGGAAGCCAAGUGUCCGCGAGAGCCUUGCGUGUGCUCUUAUUGGUAGUGUGGCUGAUAAUCUAUCAUAAGACACACGCGGCUCUCGCUGGCUCGCUCACACGCUACAGCAGUGAAGAGGAUAGAAGAUUGAACAGCCAACAUUUAUUUUAUAGUUUAAGAUAUGAUGCGGAUUGUAGAAUAUUUAUAAUUAGAUCAAGAAUAAUUAUUAAGAUACUGUUUCUUACAAAUAUAACGUUCCGUCCACGCACCGGAAUGAUAUUCCAUAUUUCACUUAUAAUAGCUGAAAACCGAUUUAAUAUAAUCCCUAAGAGUCCUAAUUGGACUGAAGACACAUUUCUCCUUUGAAUGAACUCAAUAAUUAGAGACCUACAAAUGUACAGCUCCAUUUUAAUUCGUCAGCUUACAAACAUUAGAUAACAUCACUAAUAAUUCCCGAAGUUUUCAUCGCUGAAUACUGAAUCGUUGUUUGGAAGUGAUUUUCGUCAGUUGGGUGCGCAUUAAGCGAGCGCGAGCGCUGUAAGCGGAUUAGGUGUGUGGGCGCAGGCAACAUGGCGGCGGUGGGCGGGGCUUGCGGCGCCGCGCUCGUGUAGACGCGCCGCAGACAGGGUGGAUUAAGGGCUCUUACAGACAAGCAACAAUUCGUUGACGGCUGAAACCAAUGCAAUCAGCAAUCAGAAGGUGACAACCGAAUUAACUUCAGAAGCAACCAUCGAUGAGUGACGAUUCUUGUAUUAUAUGCAUUUGUUGCAAUCGUAGUGGUCUUCGUUAGUUCAGCCAAUUGGAAAAUUAUAAGAUUAAGUACCGACACGCGAGUUGUAUCUUUCAGUUAAUAAAGUGUUCCUCGUCUUUCAACUCAUUCGCCGGAAAAUUGUUUAACUCGGUAGAAACCUAAAAGGCGUAAAGUAACACGACCGAAAAUCACAAACAAAUAAAAUGUCUACCUAAUAGGUACUCAUAUAUAUAUCCAGUAAGAUACUGUUUUUCAAAAUACAUUAAAUUAUAUCUACCAAAAUUCCAUUGUACUGUAUUGAUAGAAAAAUAUUAUACACUUAUUGUUCCUCAUUUUCGCAGCAUUCAAUUUUCUACUUGAAAAUUGCAACACCAUUUGUAAAAUGUAUUUUCGAUUCGAACAACAAUUUUAUUGAAUUUGUAAAAUGAAAUGUAUAACAAAACUAAGUACAAAUUGUGUGCAAUACAGGGAACAAUACUAUAGUAUUGUACAAAUACUAUAAAACAAUUUUGUGUCGCAUUACAUUUUGCACUUGUGUCGAAGAGAGGUCAUAAUAAUACAUUCGGGUUUUCAUUUCAUAUGAAGUGAGAAUACAAAGCAAUAUACUAAACCGCUAUUGAGAUACGUAGACAAAUUAAAAUAAA